This is a non-coding RNA of Cucumis sativus (cucumber), 79 nucleotides long. NCBI's taxonomy places the organism in Eukaryota, Viridiplantae, Streptophyta, Magnoliopsida, Cucurbitales, Cucurbitaceae. The record is from Rfam.
UAUCCCUAUGAUGAUUGAUUGGAAUUAUAAAAGUAGUGGACUGAGUCUUACUGGUGAGAAGUAUCAAUUCUGAGGGAUA